GUCUGGGUGGCUUAGUUGGUUAAGCAUCUGACUUUGGCUCAGGUCAUGCUUUCACAGUUCAUGAGUUCAAACCUCACAUCAGGCU
Molecule: transfer RNA, 85 nt
Filed under: Felis catus (domestic cat)
Lineage: Eukaryota; Metazoa; Chordata; Mammalia; Carnivora; Felidae
Also listed under: 1 other name
Rfam family: tRNA
About the family: Transfer RNA (tRNA) molecules are approximately 80 nucleotides in length. Their secondary structure includes four short double-helical elements and three loops (D, anti-codon, and T loops).
Source: Rfam by way of RNAcentral